GGAAGGAGAAGUCGUAACAAGGUUUCGCAAUGCUCCUCUUCGCGACCAAACCGUCGGGGCCCGACGGUUGGUUCGAGACGCACGGAAGCCUGAGUGCUCUCCAUGAGAAGAGCGCUAGUGUCGUGCUCGUUCGGAGCCGAUGCGACGUCGUCAAACUGCGGGGAGUGGUCUUAUGAUGUCGGGUUACCAAGCACGGCAGCCGGCACGUCCAGGCUGAGUGUGGCCGGGCCUUGCAGGCUCGGGUAAGGUUACAACACCCGACCUUCGAGACCUCACCCGCAACCAAACCUCGUGACGCACGGGGUGCUGCCCACAGACUAAAUGGCGAUGGGUUGCUUGGGGCGAAUGCAUUGCCCAUGGCAGCUCAAGAUAUAGUCGGCCCGGCG
RNAcentral lists this ribosomal RNA (386 nucleotides) under Haplotaenium minutum. Its description in RNAcentral is "partial 18S ribosomal RNA". The stretch from base 90 to 384 matches the Rfam family "Group I catalytic intron". Rfam says of the family: Group I catalytic introns are large self-splicing ribozymes. They catalyse their own excision from mRNA, tRNA and rRNA precursors in a wide range of organisms. The core secondary structure consists of 9 paired regions (P1-P9). Lineage: Eukaryota; Viridiplantae; Streptophyta; Zygnematophyceae; Desmidiales; Desmidiaceae. The record is from RNAcentral.